GGAAGGAUCAUUACCACAUUCCUCGGUCUGUUCGCCUUGGAUAACGUGGAACCACAUCGCCGCAGCGGGCGAUCCGUCUUGUUCGAACGGAUCGCUAUCCCAAACGCUGUACAAAACGGCUGUCGGAGACUGAAUCUCGGGCAGACCGAUGCGGGCUGUAGGGAUUAAACCGGACUUGCAACCGGCAGAGAUCCCAAUGUUUGGCCCGGUAACCUCCCGAGGGGGUGUCACUGUCAUCGGAGUGUGGCAAUGCGGUGUGCAAACUCGCUGCGCAUCCGCAGCUCCGGUGCUGACUUAAAUUCUCUAGCACGAGGCCGUUUGACCGUGCCUGGUCGUCAGGAAUAUGCUGUUCCGGUGGGCCGUGUGUUCGCACAAGUGCUUAGAGGCCCUCACCAACCUGUCGUAGCGAGUAUGUGCUAAUGCAUACUCACCAACAUAAACCAUAGACUCUCUGGGCAGUGGAUCACUCGGCUCGAGGAUCGAUGAAGACCGCAGCCAUUUGCGAUAUCUAAUGUGAAUUGCAGGGCAUUCGGAACAUCGAAACGUUGAACGCACAUUGCGGCUAGUGAAUUCUUUCGCUAGCCAUGUCUGUCUGAGGGUCGAUUUACUCUGCUAUUGUGCACAUGAACCGUCGUUCGACGCACACUCUGGGGCUAGUACUUUCGAGGCGCCGCGACGGCUUUGAGGGUACGGUUCUUAAAUACAAGAGAAGUUGUCGUUUCCAAAAGAACCGUUCGACCGAAGCCUACCACGCUGGACGUAUCCACUCGAUGUGCGAGAUACGAUCCAACCGUGGGGCUUCGGAUAUUUUUUUGGAAAACUUUUGUACAGCUUUCAAUGAACAGCCAAAGCAGCCAGCCUGUGCGUAUCCGGCGUACAGUCAUCGCUCCUGUGGCGCCA
This 900-nucleotide ribosomal RNA is filed under the name Turbanella pilosum. Its description in RNAcentral is "eukaryotic LSU rRNA". The stretch from base 448 to 602 matches the Rfam family "5.8S ribosomal RNA". The record is from RNAcentral. Lineage: Eukaryota; Metazoa; Gastrotricha; Macrodasyida; Turbanellidae.